This 465-nucleotide ribosomal RNA is filed under the name uncultured bacterium. RNAcentral's name for it is "bacterial SSU rRNA". It matches the Rfam family "Bacterial small subunit ribosomal RNA", at positions 338 to 795 of the family's 1533-position model. The record is from RNAcentral.
CCUACGGGCGGCAGCAGUGGGGAAUAUUGCACAAUGGGCGCAAGCCUGAUGCAGCCAUGCCGCGUGUGUGAAGAAGGCCUUCGGGUUGUAAAGCACUUUCAGCGAGGAGGAAGGUGGUGAACUUAAUACGUUCAUCAAUUGACGUUACUCGCAGAAGAAGCACCGGCUAACUCCGUGCCAGCAGCCGCGGUAAUACGGAGGGUGCAAGCGUUAAUCGGAAUUACUGGGCGUAAAGCGCACGCAGGCGGUUGAUUGAGUCAGAUGUGCAAUCCCCGGGCUUAACCCGGGAAUUGCAUCUGAUACUGGUCAGCUAGAGUCUUGUAGAGGGGGGUAGAAUUCCAUGUGUAGCGGUGAAAUGCGUAGAGAUGUGGAGGAAUACCGGUGGCGAAGGCGGCCCCCUGGACAAAGACUGACGCUCAGGUGCGAAAGCGUGGGGAGCAAACAGGAUUAGAUACCCGCGUAGUC